Molecule: ribosomal RNA, 443 nt
Filed under: uncultured bacterium
Lineage: Bacteria
Description: partial 16S ribosomal RNA
Rfam family: Bacterial small subunit ribosomal RNA
Source: RNAcentral
GAUGAACGCUGGCGGCAUGCCUAACACAUGCAAGUCGAUCGGUAAGGCUCUUCGGAGUACACGAGAGGCGGACGGCUGAGUAACGCGUAGGAACACACCCUGCAGUGAGGGAUAAGACACCGAACGGUUUUCUCAUACCGCAUACGGUCUUCGGAUUAAAGCAUUUAUGCGCUGAAGGAGUGGCCUGCGUCAUAUUAGAUAGUUGGUGAGGUAAUGGCUCACCAAGUCGAUGAUGUGUAGCUGGUCUGAGAGGAUGAUCAGCCAGACUGGAACUGAGACACGGUCCAGACUCCUACGGGAGGCAGCAGUGAGGAAUAUUUCACAAUGAGCGAAAGCUUGAUGGAGCAAUGCCGCGUGCAGGAUGAAGGCCCUCGGGUUGUAAACUGCUUUUAUAAGAGAAGAUUAUGACGGUAACUUAUGAAUAAGAGACGGCUAACUACGUG